This 404-nucleotide ribosomal RNA is filed under the name uncultured bacterium. RNAcentral's name for it is "bacterial SSU rRNA". It matches the Rfam family "Bacterial small subunit ribosomal RNA", at positions 362 to 758 of the family's 1533-position model. The record is from RNAcentral.
UUUUGGACAAUGGGCGCAAGCCUGAUCCGGCAAUGCCGCGUGAGUGAAGAAGGCCUUCGGGUUGUAAAGCUCUUUUGUCGGAGAAGAAACGGUGAGCUCUAAUACAGUUUGCUAAUGACGGUACCUGAAGAAUAAGCACCGGCUAACUACGUGCCAGCAGCCGCGGUAAUACGUAGGGUGCAAGCGUUAAUCGGAAUUACUGGGCGUAAAGCGUGCGCAGGCGGUUAUGUAAGUCAGAUGUGAAAUCCCCGGGCUCAACCUGGGAAUGGCAUUUGAGACUGCAUGGCUAGAGUGUGUCAGAGGGGGGUAGAAUUCCACGUGUAGCAGUGAAAUGCGUAGAGAUGUGGAGGAAUACCGAUGGCGAAGGCAGCCCCCUGGGAUAACACUGACGCUCAUGCGCGAAA